CAGCAGCCACGGUAAUACGUAGGUGGCAAGCGUUGUCCGGAAUUAUUGGGCGUAAAGGGCUCGCAGGCGGUUUCUUAAGUCUGAUGUGAAAGCCCCCGGCUCAACCGGGGAGGGUCAUUGGAAACUGGGAAACUUGAGUGCAGAAGAGGAGAGUGGAAUUCCACGUGUAGCGGUGAAAUGCGUAGAGAUGUGGAGGAACACCAGUGGCGAAGGCGACUCUCUGGUCUGUAACUGACGCUGAGGAGCGAAAGUGUGGGGAGCGAACAGGAUUAGAUACCCCUGUAGUCCCUGUCUCUUAUAA
RNAcentral lists this ribosomal RNA (301 nucleotides) under uncultured bacterium. RNAcentral's name for it is "partial 16S ribosomal RNA". It matches the Rfam family "Bacterial small subunit ribosomal RNA", at positions 509 to 809 of the family's 1533-position model. The record is from RNAcentral.